RNAcentral lists this ribosomal RNA (406 nucleotides) under uncultured bacterium. RNAcentral's name for it is "partial 16S ribosomal RNA". It matches the Rfam family "Bacterial small subunit ribosomal RNA", at positions 29 to 526 of the family's 1533-position model. The record is from RNAcentral.
AUUGAACGCUGGCGGCAGGCCUAACACAUGCAAGUCGAACGAGUGGCGGACGGGUGAGUAAUGUCUGGGAAACUGCCCGAUGGAGGGGGAUAACUACUGGAAACGGUAGCUAAUACCGCAUACCAUCGGAUGUGCCCAGAUGGGAUGAGCUUGUAGGUGAGGUAACGGCUCACCUAGGCGACGAUCCCUAGCUGGUCUGAGAGGAUGACCAGGAAAGAUGGAACUUGGAAACGGUCCAGACGCGUACGGAAGGCAGCAGUGGGAAAUGUUGGAAGAUGGGCGCAAGCCUGUUGCGGCCAGGCCGCGGGUAUGAAGAAGGCCUUCGGGUUGUAAAGUACUUUCAGCGGGGCGGCGUGACCCGCAGAAGUAGCACAGGCUAACUCCGUGCCAGCAGCCGAGGUAAUAC